AUUCCAUACAAUUGAAGCUAUGCUGCAGGUUUUUUUAUUCUCUCCUGAGUAUGAAAUUCACUUUUCUAAUAAAGAAAACAACCCACAAACAGAAAAUCCCCACGCCAAGCCAUAUAAAUAAAAAGACAACCUAAAACAACCAGAACAAAACCCAAAAAGGGUAUUUAAAAAUCAGGCACACAGUGUUUCCGCUUGGCUGAGAAAGUAGGAGGAUGACUAAAAAGUCUACGUUAGUUCAUAAUGACGGGUGUAACAAAAGAAAGUGAACAGCAAAGCACAUGUCAGGAGGGGUUCGUCAGCUCUUGUAGGGUGGAUGGAUUUGCAGUGUGGAUGAAAAGCAGGCUUCAUUUCCCACUAGGGCAUGUGAGCAGUAAUGAGUUCUUCAGAAUGGGAAGAGAACUCUGCUGGAGUGAAUUCCCAGGCAGCACAGAGCAGCUCACUAAAAUGCAAGGAAACAAUUGCCGAACUUCCAACUUAAAAAGUGAAGACCCAGAGCUGUUGGCAUUCAAUGAAGUUGAAGGAGACUGACUCCAUGCCCUGCAAAUAGGUGCAUUCAGGUGGUGACUGAUGAAUAUGGAAAGGUUGGAAGUGGCUGCGGAUUGAAGCAAGCUGCAUUUUCUCCUAGUGCUUGCAUUGACCUUCUGGGGCAAAACUGUCCCUUCCAUGUUCUGUAAUUGUUCUGUUUAUGUAGCAGUUUUCACUUUCUCUUUUUUUAUUUCCUUUUCUUUUUCUCUUUUCUGUUGAGUUUCUUAUACUGGUUCCACUUCUCAGGUCAUACAAAGACAUUCAAUCACCACACACUGAAAUAUGGAAAAUAUGAUUUAAGAACUGUUUUAUCUAAUGCCACCUUUCAAAAACGUGGUUGCCUUGAUAUUUCUGACUUCCUCUUCUUUGGAGAAAUUUAUGAGGUGAUACUGUGAAACAUUUUUUUCCUUUUUGUUUUAAGUGUUUCCUUCUUAUCACAUAUUUCAGAAAGGAUUUUGAAACAUUUCCCUGUAAGACUGACCUUUCUGAGCAGUGGCUGGCAGAUAGCGUUCUUUGAUAUCUUCUAACCUAAUAAUCCAGCUGCCCAAGGUGGGUUUAAAAUGAAAUCCUUGUUCCAAUAAUAGAAUUGCUACUUUAAAAUAUACAUGAAUGGGACAUGGAGUCAGCCUGGAAUACCACAAACCCAGUACAGAAUUUCUUCUUGUCCCCUGCGUUACAUUACUCCUCUCACCUCCUUUUCCUUCUGUAUUUGACUGUGUGCUCUAAUAGAACCCAAACAGCAGUGGUAAUGUAAUGCCAUGGAGCAGUUUCUUUAUAGGCUUAUGUACCAUUUGUGCUCAUUGAUUAAAUUGUCUAGAAAGUUGAGAAAUUUCAGGAAAAAUUCUCAAGUUAACAUCACCAGGGCAUAAUUGAAAAAUUGCCUGAGAAUCAUGGAUUUAUAGUAAUUUUGUUGGGGUUUGUGCUUGGUGAACCAUGUACACUUAUGUUCUUUCAUGCUUUUCUUCAAAUAAUCACAAAAAUGUACAAAGGUUUAACUCGGGAUCCAAAAUAAAAAUUUAGCUAUGGUAGCUAUGAUGGUA
This 1565-nucleotide long non-coding RNA is filed under the name Numida meleagris (helmeted guineafowl). Its description in RNAcentral is "lncRNA (ENSNMEG00000000756.1)". Lineage: Eukaryota; Metazoa; Chordata; Aves; Galliformes; Numididae. The record is from RNAcentral.